RNAcentral lists this ribosomal RNA (1494 nucleotides) under uncultured bacterium. RNAcentral's name for it is "bacterial SSU rRNA". It matches the Rfam family "Bacterial small subunit ribosomal RNA". The record is from RNAcentral.
AGAGUUUGAUCCUGGCUCAGAUUGAACGCUGGCGGCAGGCCUAACACAUGCAAGUCGAGCGGUAGCACAGAGAGCUUGCUCUCGGGUGACGAGCGGCGGACGGGUGAGUAAUGUCUGGGAAACUGCCUGAUGGAGGGGGAUAACUACUGGAAACGGUAGCUAAUACCGCAUAAUGUCGCAAGACCAAAGUGGGGGACCUUCGGGCCUCAUGCCAUCAGAUGUGCCCAGAUGGGAUUAGCUAGUAGGUGGGGUAACGGCUCACCUAGGCGACGAUCCCUAGCUGGUCUGAGAGGAUGACCAGCCACACUGGAACUGAGACACGGUCCAGACUCCUACGGGAGGCAGCAGUGGGGAAUAUUGCACAAUGGGCGCAAGCCUGAUGCAGCCAUGCCGCGUGUGUGAAGAAGGCCUUCGGGUUGUAAAGCACUUUCAGCGGGGAGGAAGGCGUUAAGGUUAAUAACCUUGGCGAUUGACGUUACCCGCAGAAGAAGCACCGGCUAACUCCGUGCCAGCAGCCGCGGUAAUACGGAGGGUGCAAGCGUUAAUCGGAAUUACUGGGCGUAAAGCGCACGCAGGCGGUCUGUCAGGUCGGAUGUGAAAUCCCCGGGCUCAACCUGGGAACUGCAUUCGAAACUGGCAGGCUAGAGUCUUGUAGAGGGGGGUAGAAUUCCAGGUGUAGCGGUGAAAUGCGUAGAGAUCUGGAGGAAUACCGGUGGCGAAGGCGGCCCCCUGGACAAAGACUGACGCUCAGUGCGAAAGCGUGGGGAGCAAACAGGAUUAGAUACCCUGGUAGUCCACGCCCUAAACGAUGUACACUAGUUGUUGUGAGGCUAGACCUUGCAGUAAUGCAGUUAACACAUUAAGUGUACCGCCUGGGGAGUACGGUCGCAGAUUAAAACUCAAGGAAUAGACGGGGACCCGCACAGCGGUGGAGCAUGUGGUUUAAUUCGACGAUACACGAGACUUACCUGACUUGACAUAGUAGAACUUUCUAGAGAUAGAUGGUGUCUGCUUGCAGAACUUAUAUACAGUGCUGCACGGCUGUCGUCAGCUCGUGUCGUGAGAUGUUGGGUUAAGUCCCGCAACGAGCGCAACCCUUGUUGUUAGUUGCCAGCAUGUAAAGAUGGGGACUCUAACAAGACAGCUAGUGAUAAGCUAGAGGAAGGUGGGGAUGACGUCAAAUCAUCAUGCCCCUUACGAUCUGGGCUACACACGUGCUACAAUGGUUGGAACAAAGGGAAGCGAAAUGGUGACAUUAAGCAAAACUCAAAAAACCAAUCACAGUUCGGAUUGUAGUCUGCAACUCGACUACAUGAAGCUGGAAUCGCUAGUAAUCGCGAAUCAGAAUGUCGCGGUGAAUACGUUCCCGGGCCUUGUACACACCGCCCGUCACACCACGAGAGUUGAUAACACCCAAAGUCGAUGACCUAACAGCAAUGAAGGAGUCGCCUAAGGUGGGAUUGAUGAUUGGGGUGAAGUCGUAACAAGGUAACC